This 300-nucleotide ribosomal RNA is filed under the name uncultured bacterium. Its description in RNAcentral is "bacterial SSU rRNA". It matches the Rfam family "Bacterial small subunit ribosomal RNA", at positions 28 to 334 of the family's 1533-position model. The record is from RNAcentral.
GGUGAACGCUGACAGAAUGCUUAACACAUGCAAGUCUACUUGAUCCUUCGGGUGAUGGUGGCGGACGGGUGAGUAACGCGUAAAGAACUUGCCUUGCAGUCUGGGACAACGUCUGGAAACGGACGCUAAUACCGGAUAUUAUGGUUGUAUACGCAUGAUUAGUAAUUAUGAAAGCUAUAUGCGCUGCGAGAGAGCUUUGCGUCCCAUUAGUUAGUUGGUGAGGUAACGGCUCACCAAGACGAUGAUGGGUAGCCGGCCUGAGAGGGUGAACGGCCACAAGGGGACUGAGACACGGCCCUU